Molecule: ribosomal RNA, 1932 nt
Filed under: human gut metagenome
Description: bacterial LSU rRNA
Rfam family: Bacterial large subunit ribosomal RNA
Source: RNAcentral
AAGCUGUGUGCUCGAGAGGGAAACAGCCCGGACCGCCCGCUAAGGUCCCCAAGUUCCAGCCGAGUGGCAAAGGAUGUGCGUCCGCCCAGACAACCAGGAUGUUGGCUUAGAAGCAGCCAUCCAUUCAAAGAGUGCGUAACAGCUCACUGGUCGAGUGGACAUGCGCCGACAAUACACGGGGCUAAGCUGGACACCGAAGCGGCGGGAUUUUAUUCAUUAGAAUCGGUAGGGGAGCUUCCCAUGGGCGGAGAAGCCGGAGGGCGACCGACGGUGGAGCGCAUGGGAGUGAGAAUGCUGGCAUGAGUAGCGAGAGACGAGAGAGUAACUCGUCCGCCGUGAACCCGAGGUUUCCUGGGCAAGGCUAAUCCUCCCAGGGUCAGUCGGGGGCUAAGGCGAGGCCGGGAGGCGUAGCCGACGCGCAGCAGGCAGACAUUCCUGCACCGCGCACGCGGCGCUACGACCGACGGGGCGACGGAUGGGGGUGGCUCGGCGGGGUUCUGGACGUCCCCGUGAUGGAGCGCGGCCCGCGGACCAGGGAAAUCCGGUCCGCAGAAGGGCGAGGCUCCGGACGAAGCGACUGAGCGAAGCGAGUGAGCCCGAGGUCCCUAGAAAAACCCCUAGGCAGGCGCGUGCGCGCCCGUACCGCAAACCGACACAGGUGGGUGGGUAGAACAUACCGAGGCGAUCGGGUCAACCAUGGUCAAGGAACUCGGCACAAUGGCCCCGUAACUUCGGGAGAAGGGGUGCCCGCGCGUACGUGAACGGACUUGCUCCGGGAGCGGAGGCGGGCCGCAGUGGAGAGGCCCAAGCGACUGUUUACCAAAAACACAGGACUCUGCAGAAGCCGCAAGGCGACGUAUAGGGUCUGACGCCUGCCCGGUGCCGGAAGGUCACGCGGAGGGGUUAGCCGUUAAGGCGAGGCCCCGAAGCCAAGCCCCGGUAAACGGCGGCCGUAACUAUAACGGUCCUAAGGUAGCGAAAUUCCUUGUCGGGUAAGUUCCGACCUGCACGAAAGGCGCAACGACUUGGGCGCUGUCUCGACCAUGGACCCGGUGAAAUUGCACUGGUCGUGAAGAUGCGACUUACCCGCGGAAGGACGGAAAGACCCCGUGAACCUUCACUGCAGCUUGGCAUUGGCCGCUGGUCCCGCGUGUAGAGGAUAGGCAGGAGGCAUCGAUCCGGAGGCGCCAGCCCCCGGGGAGCCGCCCUUGGAAUACUGCCCUCGCGCGACCGGCGUCCUAACCCGAGGCCGUCAACCGGCUCGGGGACCGUGCCAGGCGGGCAGUUUGACUGGGGCGGUCGCCUCCUAAAGGGUAACGGAGGCGCGCGAAGGUCCGCUCGGGACGGUCGGCAACCGUCCUUUUGAAUGCAAGAGUACAAGCGGGCUUGACUGCGAGGCCCACAAGCCGAGCAGGUGCGAAAGCAGGCUCUAGUGAUCCGGCGGCCCCGAGUGGGUGGGCCGUCGCUCAACGGAUAAAAGGUACUCCGGGGAUAACAGGCUGAUCUUGCCCAAGAGUCCACAUCGACGGCAAGGUUUGGCACCUCGAUGUCGGCUCAUCGCAUCCUGGGGCUGGAGCAGGUCCCAAGGGUACGGCUGUUCGCCGUUUAAAGCGGUACGCGAGCUGGGUUCAGAACGUCGUGAGACAGUUCGGUCCCUAUCCUCCGUGGGCGCAGGAGAAUCGAUGGAGGCUGCCCCCAGUACGAGAGGACCGGGGUGGACGCACCUCCGGUGAACCGGUUGUCGACCAACGGCACGGCCGGGUAGCCGCGUGCGGCGCGGAUAACCGCUGAAGGCAUCUAAGCGGGAAGCCGUUCCAGGGAUUAGUUCUCCUUCCGGUAAGGGCCCAGGUAGACUACCUGGUCGAUAGACGGCAGGUGCAAGGACGGCGACGUCCUCAGCCGAGCCGCACUAAUCGCCCGAGCUCUUCCGGA